UACGUAGGGUGCGAGCGUUGUCCGGAAUUAUUGGGCGUAAAGAGCUCGUAGGCGGUUUGUCGCGUCUGCUGUGAAAACCCGAGGCUCAACCUCGGGCCUGCAGUGGGUACGGGCAGACUAGAGUGCGGUAGGGGAGAUUGGAAUUCCUGGUGUAGCGGUGGAAUGCGCAGAUAUCAGGAGGAACACCGAUGGCGAAGGCAGGUCUCUGGGCAUUAACUGACGCUGAGGAGCGAAAGCAUGGGGAGCGAACAGG
Molecule: ribosomal RNA, 253 nt
Filed under: uncultured bacterium
Lineage: Bacteria
Description: partial 16S ribosomal RNA
Rfam family: Bacterial small subunit ribosomal RNA
Source: RNAcentral